Molecule: transfer RNA, 73 nt
Filed under: Agrilus planipennis (emerald ash borer)
Lineage: Eukaryota; Metazoa; Arthropoda; Insecta; Coleoptera; Buprestidae
Rfam family: tRNA
About the family: Transfer RNA (tRNA) molecules are approximately 80 nucleotides in length. Their secondary structure includes four short double-helical elements and three loops (D, anti-codon, and T loops).
Source: Rfam by way of RNAcentral
UUUCUCAUAGCGUAGUGGUCAGAGCAUUGGUGCGUAAACCCAGAGGUCCCGGGUUCGAUUCCCGGUGAGGGUG